Molecule: ribosomal RNA, 253 nt
Filed under: uncultured bacterium
Lineage: Bacteria
Description: partial 16S ribosomal RNA
Rfam family: Bacterial small subunit ribosomal RNA
Source: RNAcentral
CACGUAGGGUGCGAGCGUUGUCCGGAAUUAUUGGGCGUAAAGAGCUCGUAGGCGGCUUGUCGCGUCGACUGUGAAAACCCGGGGCUCAACUCCGGGCCUGCAUUCGAUACGGGCGGACUAGAGUUCGGUAGGGGAGACUGGAAUUCCUGGUGUAGCGGUGAAAUGCGCAGAUAUCAGGAGGAACACCGGUGGCGAAGGCGGGUCUCUGGGCCGAUACUGACGCUGAGGAGCGAAAGCGUGGGGAGCGAACAGG